This 82-nucleotide transfer RNA is filed under the name Pirellulaceae bacterium. Its description in RNAcentral is "tRNA-Ser". It matches the Rfam family "tRNA". From Rfam's summary of the family: Transfer RNA (tRNA) molecules are approximately 80 nucleotides in length. Their secondary structure includes four short double-helical elements and three loops (D, anti-codon, and T loops). Lineage: Bacteria; Pseudomonadati; Planctomycetota; Planctomycetia; Pirellulales; Pirellulaceae. The record is from RNAcentral.
GGAGGGUAUGCGAAUGGUGAGCGGCCACAUUGGAAAUGUGGUGCCCCGAAAGGGGUUGCGGGUUCGAAUCCCGUGCCCUCCG